AUUUGUCUAUUGUGCUUUUGAUUGGCUACGUCCCCUGAGCCGAUAAAUAAACAACUAAGGAUAUGAGAUAGAUUGCUAUUGUGCAAGCCCACCUCGAAGUGGGAAGCCUGCGGUACUCUUCGAAUUUCCGCCUUGAGCCUUACUGGUUCAGGUUUUAAGCCAACACGGGACAAUAGGCACUAU
Molecule: non-coding RNA, 183 nt
Filed under: Candidatus Thioglobus autotrophicus
Lineage: Bacteria; Pseudomonadati; Pseudomonadota; Gammaproteobacteria; Pseudothioglobaceae (SeqCode)
Also listed under: 1 other name
Description: 6S RNA
Rfam family: 6S / SsrS RNA
About the family: E. coli 6S RNA was the first non coding RNA to be sequenced, but its function was unknown until recently. It consists of 184 nucleotides that fold into an extended hairpin structure with a large single-stranded internal bulge.
Source: RNAcentral